RNAcentral lists this ribosomal RNA (482 nucleotides) under uncultured bacterium. RNAcentral describes it as "partial 16S ribosomal RNA". It matches the Rfam family "Bacterial small subunit ribosomal RNA", at positions 28 to 523 of the family's 1533-position model. The record is from RNAcentral.
GAUGAACGCUGGCGGCGUGCUUAACACAUGCAAGUCGAACGAUGAAGCCCAGCUUGCUGGGUGGAUUAGUGGCGAACGGGUGAGUAACACGUGAGUAACCUGCCCUUAACUCUGGGAUAAGCCUGGGAAACUGGGUCUAAUACCGGAUAGGAGCGUCCACCGCAUGGUGGGUGUUGGAAAGAUUUAUCGGUUUUGGAUGGACUCGCGGCCUAUCAGCUUGUUGGUGAGGUAAUGGCUCACCAAGGCGACGACGGGUAGCCGGCCUGAGAGGGGGACCGGCCACACUGGGACUGAGACACGGCCCAGACUCCUACGGGAGGCAGCAGGGGGGAAUAUUGCACAAUGGGCGCAAGCCUGAUGCAGCGACGCCGCGUGAGGGAUGACGGCCUUCGGGUUGUAAACCUCUUUCAGUAGGGAAGAAGCGAAAGUGACGGUACCUGCAGAAGAAGCACCGGCUAACUACGUGCCAGCAGCCGCCGUAA